UUGAUAGAAUUCAAGGUACAAGGUCUCGAUAUAUUUAACUAGUUCAAAAUAUAUACACUCCAAGUACAAAAUGUUCCAUUCGAGGAAUAGCGCGAGUACAAAACCAAAAUUCAAAAAACAAAGUCUAAAGUAACUAGACUACGCUAGCCUUUACAUGUCUCACGCUUCACUCGUACCCCUGUAAGGAAAACAAAACUAAAAGGGUGAGCCGAAGCCUAGUGAAGUUCCCAAAUAUCAAAUUGGUCAGCAACCAAGUUAUAGCAAAAUAAAAGUGAAAUAGAGAGCAAACAAGUCAAAUCAGGAAAAUAGUACUUCAGCUAGUCAAGUAGUAUUAGAUGCACAUUCACAUAUAAGGAUACGGUAUUCAUGUUUCGGCUCCAUUCCAGCUUGGUCAAGUGGUAGUUGACACUCCGUCAACUUUCAAGUAAUAUCAAGUCCAAAUAAACUCCACUACACGCCAAUUUCCGUCCACCGAUCAACCCCCUAUUCCGGGCCCGCACGCCAUACAAAACAUGGGUGGUAAUACUCGAGUAUACCGGAUUGCCGAGGAGAUAACACUCCACUCGACUUAACUAGUAACCCAGGGUUCAUUAUCUAAUCGACCAGGCCCUUGCCGGCUCGACUUGAUUAACUAGCCACAGGGUUUCUGGAAUUCCAGGCAAGAUAUAAUUCAAGUACAUGUACAACAAGUCAAGUAUGAUCAAUAGCAAGAACAGGUCAUAUUAGGGCAAGUGCGAUAAAGUACACCCUUGCCCUUUCAUUCAUUGUCAUGUAAUCACGCAAGUCAAGUAAGAAGCACACAUAUCAAGUACAAUUGGAUAUUUGGAAGCACUCACCAAAAUAGUGCUUCUAGUGCUCGUGUCUGGGUGGUACUCCGAGUUGGGAGUCCAAAUCUGCGAUAAAACUUAACUUGAGAACUUUGAAAAUCAACCAAGGUUCGAAACUUAAGCGUUUCGUUCAAUAUGAAUCAAGAAAUUGAAAUUCACUUGAGAAGAGUUGUGAAAUAGUUGCUCGCUCUUCAAACUGAAAAAUUUGAUAACAUUUUUGCUUGAAGAUGACUCUUGAGUCAAAAGUGCAAGUAAAACGGUUUCGUAGUGAUUCAAAUCGUUUUCCUAAGGGUACAAGUUCGGCCAAGUCCUAACGUAUAACCCUCGAUAAACAAGUGGCAAAAGUCCUCGAUAGUUCAAGUGAUAAUUACUUAACCUUCACUCAAGUCGCAAAGAUAGUUUUCUAGACUUCGAGUAAAAAUUCGGGCAGCAUGCCCUUUGUGUUUACCUAAUUUCCAGCCAUUUAGGCUUCAUUAUUUUCCUUCAGCAACAACCCAACAUCACACAAUAAAACAAUUCAAGCCAAGAGCCGUUCCCUAGGCUCACAAUAUCAUAACAACAAGAAUCGCAUCAAGUACAAAUGCAGAAAUUCAAUGUGGCACAAGACAGAUUUGACGUACAAAUGCGGAAAUAACAUAUCCAAGACUACGCUUAUCGGAUUAAGACGAAACCUGUGCCAUUUCGAAGUUAAGACACAGAGCUACAACAUUCAUGAAGAUCACGUAGUCCAGUUUCUAAUGUAACUUAGUCAAAUUCUCGAAUUACUAAACCAGAAACCAAUUCGUCGGUUGUUUAAACGCAGAACACUGUAAUGGACAUAACUCAGUGUACACAAGUCCGAAUCAGGUUUUCUUUGAGGCAUUUUAAAGCUACUUCAGAACACUACAACUUUUAUGUUUUGGCCCAGAGCUAAAUCAGAAUGGAUCCUGGUCAAAAAUCGUGAUAAACUGGACUGAACUGAAGAAACGGACUGCUGGGAAAUUCUUAGAACAGUAGGGGUAUUUUGGACUUUUCACGUUCUGCGUUGCUCCGAUUGAGCUGAAAUUUUGUAGGCACCUAUAAAACACCAUUCUCUACAACUUUCCUUCUUUGACCAAAGGCCAAUUCGGCCUCUAACAUACAGAUGCAAUUUCGGACAGAAUGCUUGGGAAAUUUUCCAGAAAUCUGGAAUUUUCAGCUCUAAGUGUAAUUUCCUCAAAUUUCUGGUUCUAAUCACCACUAAACAACCUUAUAUAACCUUAAUUGCAACAUUUACACAUCAUACCUCACAUUGAGCAGAAAAUCAGAAACCCUAGUUCAUCAAAUAAAUUGGGGAAAAACUUCUACACAUGCUAGCAUCCAUGAAUCCACCACCAAUCAAGCUACUAAGCUUACUUUAACCAUGAUUGAAAGAGAAAGUUAGAGAGAUAUCAUCCUCUUACCUUGAUUUGAGUUCUCCAAGUAUAGCUCCAAGCUUUCUCUUCCCAAAUUUUCACCACCAAUCACUAGAUAAUCACUCAAGAGUAGGUUUAAUCGGUUUACUUUGUUUGAUUUCGCACUUUGUUGGUGGAUUGAAGAAGAAAUGGAGAAGAGUUUUGUUUUUCCUCUCUUGUUCUUACUCUCUCCCUCUCUCGGCUCUUAGCAGCAGAAAAUG
RNAcentral lists this long non-coding RNA (2460 nucleotides) under Coffea arabica (coffee). Its description in RNAcentral is "long non-coding RNA (CARA_LNC003690)". Lineage: Eukaryota; Viridiplantae; Streptophyta; Magnoliopsida; Gentianales; Rubiaceae. The record is from RNAcentral.